UAAAGUGGUGUCAAACUGCAUUAUUUCUACUGUGUGGAUGCACCCUCAGUCAGCAUAGGCAAUUCUAAUGUUUAGUCAAGCUGAGAGGAUGAUCGAAGAGCUAAGCCUGAUGAUUACAUACCUGCUGUUUCAGUAAGGACAUUCUCAAAGAAAAAAGCAUUGCUGGGCUAGAAAGAUGUGUCAGAAACAUACCACCAGUGCCAUACACAUGGCUGUGAAAACAUGGUUCGGAAACUGGCAAUUAGAAGCUGGAAGAAAAAGCAAGCCAUCAAGCUCCGAAGAAAAGCUCCAAUAUCUAACCAGUGUGGUGUUUUAUAUUUUAUUGUAUGUAUUUAAUAGCUUUAAAAAGAAGUGUGUCUUUUAAAAAAUGAGGAAUUGUGACAAUCUGAACAAUUUGCCCACUUAAAAAAGUAAAAGAUUUAAAAAUCAACAGCAUGACUUGAAUUACCAGAUUACUUAAGGACAUAAGAGUACGAAUGGCAUGCAAAAUAUUACUCAUACUCUAUAAUAAAGAAGGAAAAUGCUGAACUUUUUUUACCUUAGAUCUUUUACAGAAUAAAACUGACAGUAAUAUGUUUAUUUGCGUAUGUUCUGAUGACGUUAUUUCCAUAAAAAGACAACUUCCUGGAUAAUAUAUACCUUCUUGCAUUUUUGCA
Molecule: long non-coding RNA, 656 nt
Organism: Sceloporus undulatus (fence lizard)
Lineage: Eukaryota; Metazoa; Chordata; Lepidosauria; Squamata; Phrynosomatidae
Exons: 3
Source: RefSeq, a predicted model, not a curated record